This 72-nucleotide transfer RNA is filed under the name Podocnemis expansa. RNAcentral's name for it is "tRNA-Ile". The record is from RNAcentral. Lineage: Eukaryota; Metazoa; Chordata; Testudines; Podocnemididae.
AGGACACGUGCCCGAAACACAAGGAUCACUUUGAUAGAGUGAGCAUAGAGGCUAAAAUCCUCUCGUCUCCUU